AAAGUUUGAUUUUUGCUUUGAGCUUUGUUUUAUAGUUAUUUGAUAUAUGCGAGUUUUGGUUUUAGUAUUUUGCUAGAAGUGAAGUAUAGAAGGUGCAAUAUUUAAUAUUAAUAAUAAGGGAAAUCUUGAUUUAGUAAAUUAUAGGAGGUUUGAUAAAAUCUUGUGCCAGCAUUCGCGGUUAUACUUGAAAAUCAAAUAAAGUGUAUUAGUUAGAGUUAUUAUGUUUAUUCAAAAAUAGGGGUUUAUGUUUAUAAAAAGUGAAAUUAAUUUAUAAAGUGUAAAGAUUUAUCAGUAAGAAAAAUAUGAAGCUUAAAAAUCUAGGAUAUGAAAUAGGAUUAGAUACCCUAGUACACUUAGAUUUAAUUUUGAAGUACUAGAAUAUUAAAAGUUAUGGCCUUUAAAUUUAAAAAAUUUGGCGGUGUUUUAGUCUAGUUAGAGGAACCUGUUUUAUAAACGAUACAACACGCAUUAUUUUACUUAUUUUAGUGGAGCAGUUUGUAUACCGUCAUUAUAAGAUAAUUUAGGAGAAAAUAUUAUUGGAAUCGUAUUUGUGAAUAUAUUAGAUCAAGGUGCAGCUUAUAGAUAAGUAAAUAUGGGUUACAAUAAAAUUAAUUUAAUAUGAAUUAAGUAUUUAAAUAUAUUUAUGAAGGAGGAUUUAAUUGUAAGGGAAGGAGUAGUGAGAUUUUCUGAUAAAAGCUCUAAAUUAUGUACAUAUCGCCCGUCGCUUUCAUUUAAUGUGAAAUAAGUCGUAACAUAGUAGGGGUAUUGGAAGAUGUUCCUAGAAUUA
Molecule: ribosomal RNA, 787 nt
Filed under: Procambarus dupratzi
Lineage: Eukaryota; Metazoa; Arthropoda; Malacostraca; Decapoda; Cambaridae
Description: 12S ribosomal RNA
Source: RNAcentral